This 23-nucleotide non-coding RNA is filed under the name Arabidopsis thaliana (thale cress). Lineage: Eukaryota; Viridiplantae; Streptophyta; Magnoliopsida; Brassicales; Brassicaceae. The record is from RNAcentral.
AGACGGACUGGGUAGAAAAAGCU